AGAGGAGGAGCUACUGAUUUCCAGCUGCAAGGUUGAAAUAAAACCAGCAAAAGUGCAAGCCAAGGGUUCAGUUUCCCAAUAGCUGCAGCUGUCUAGCACCCGGAGCUAUUUUUAAACUCCUUUUCAGAACUUCCAGUGCUUGCGAUGGAUCUAUUUUCUUAACUGCCAAGAGAUAAUGCUUAAAAGGGAUAGCUUGAAAAUAUUCCACGGCGCUCAUACAAAUGACUGAAAUAGAUAGUGUACAAGACGGCCUUUGUCUGGAGCAGCAGAGGAAAGCAAGAUGAAGUCUUUCAGACCCCAGGACCAUGGUGCUGCUGGAUCUGCUGCUGACAACCGUGGCUUUGUGUCUUGAAUGUGCACUGUGACCAGAAAAGGCAAGAAAACCAAACAGUAAUUGUAAAGAACAUCAGAGACCUGGCAUUUAAAUUGGUCAUUGAUUCCAGGAAACAGGAGACCCCAAAAUAGCUCCCAAAGAAUCCCCCUUGACUUGAAGAGUGCUGCCUUAUCUGCAACGUGGAUGGAGCUGGAGGCCAUUAUCCUAAGGAAACUAACACAACAACAGAAAACCAAAUACUGGAUAAGUGAGGGCUAAACAUUGAGUAUGCAUGGACACAAAGAAGGAAGUUAUUUGAAGAUGUGCUCCAGCAAAAUAAGAGGUAACCCGGGAUCCAUGAAAAAGUGUUUUCAACCCAAGAGUGUGACAAAGAGAAUUUCCAGGAUGACAGCCCUGGUUCAGGUCUGGAGAUCAACUGCCGUAUACGUACUUGAGAACAAGUAUGAAAGUGUCCCUGAGGGAGGUAUCCAGGGAACAAAUAAAGGGGAGAGCAUGGCAAAGUAUUUCUGAUAUGAUA
RNAcentral lists this long non-coding RNA (851 nucleotides) under Homo sapiens (human). RNAcentral's name for it is "non-protein coding lnc-MTSS1-1:8". The record is from RNAcentral. Lineage: Eukaryota; Metazoa; Chordata; Mammalia; Primates; Hominidae.